AGCCGCGGUAAGACGUAGGAUGCAAGCGUUGUCCGGAUUUAUUGGGCGUAAAGCGCACGUAGGCGGCUCGGUAAGUCUCACUGUGAAAGCCCGGGGCUCAACCCCGGGAGGCCAGGGGAUACUGUCGAGCUGGAGACAAGCAGAGGCGAGUAGAAUUCCGGGUGUAGCGGUGGAAUGCGUAGAGAUCCGGAGGAAUACCAGAGGCGAAGGCGGCUCGCUGGGCUUGGUCUGACGCUGAGGUGCGAAAGCGUGGGGAGCGAAC
Molecule: ribosomal RNA, 262 nt
Filed under: uncultured bacterium
Lineage: Bacteria
Description: partial 16S ribosomal RNA
Rfam family: Bacterial small subunit ribosomal RNA
Source: RNAcentral